Molecule: non-coding RNA, 1539 nt
Organism: Peromyscus maniculatus bairdii (prairie deer mouse)
Lineage: Eukaryota; Metazoa; Chordata; Mammalia; Rodentia; Cricetidae
Source: RefSeq, a predicted model, not a curated record
CUGUGUUUGAAUAAACUCUGCUCUGAACAGAGCUUGGGCCUCUGCACAGGAUCCCUGGGCCAGGACUUUGGGCCCCGCCAGCCAUCUCAGCUGAGGCCAGAGCCCUGGGGUCCGCAGGAUGGCUUCAGCCAGGGGCCUGGCCUAGCUGGCCGCUCCCCAGGGAAGCUGCAGGGGGAGCGCCUUACCUCAGAAGCGGGAGGAGUCUCUGCAUCUCAAGGUUGAAGUCCGCAGCAUCUGAAGGGGACCUGGGCCGGAUAUGGAGAUGCAGAGCACGGGGCAGAUGUCAGCUUGGACCCACCAGGCUAGUCUGGGACAUAGCCAUCUUGAGGGGAGGCAGCUCCCUGCCCAGCCCGGACCCUACUUCAGUCCCCAUCCACGACUUUAAAACAUAGACCUCUGCCUCCCUGUUCACAUCUCCCUUUGUGAUCGUGCCAUAUGCAUAUACAACAGGAUUCUUCACUGAACUUGGAGCUAGCCGUUUGCCUAAACUGGCUGGUCAGCAAGCCCGGGAUCCUCCCCUCUCUGCAUCCCCAGUGCUGAUACAGAAAGGCAGAUUUGAGGAUAUAGAAGAAAAACAAAACCAGUUUCUCUGAGUGCUCUCUCACAACACAGAAGUGUGAGCACCAAGAGACAGCCGUUCUGCAGCGAGGCCUGCUGCCCUCUAGUUCUGAUGCUCUCUACCUGGAGGUAGUGUCGGUGCCCACAAGCGGAGGUCUCAGUUGCAUGAGACUGUCUCCUGCUUCAAACACCAGCUGAAAGACCAGAGUUCUGCAACUUCUCCCUGUCCAGGCUCUACAACAACAGAUUUUCCACGACUCAUUCUCAGACCACCCUCUAGGAACUUCUACAUGUUCAGUCAGCUGGAAGCCCUCCAAAACCAGUAUUUGGGGAGGGGGGUUCAUGGAAGUUUAAUUAUGUAGACAUGACCAUCAGCGAUCAACUCAACCACCAGCUUCCCUCCAGGAGAUUGGCAGGCGGAGCUGAAAAUCAACGUCCAUCAUGCUGGGUUCUUCCCAGUGAUCAGUUCUCAUCCUGAAGCUUCCUAAGGGCCCAGCCACCAGCAACUCAUUCUCACACCAAAAACAUAUCACUUGGGAAAUCCUGGGGUUCCUAGGGGUUCUGAGAAGGGAGACAUGGAGGGUGACCAAGUAGAUAUUUCACAGUAUCAGCAGCCAUAUUUGCAGAUAAUUGCCCCCCAGUCUUCUCAUUUAUGCCCUAAUUGCAUUAAGUAGGACCUUCUGAACAGUAUGUGCAUAAUUACCUAACAAGAUGGCUGAAAGCAUCUUGUAUUUAACUGGAACCCUUCCUGAUUCUCAUUCUGUUGGCGUUAGCUAUGCAUUUGAAAUUUAUUGUGUUCGUCUGUGUGUAUAUAUGUGUGCAUGCACAUGUCUGUAUGUGGAGGUAGAGGUCUGUCUAUGUUUAGUGUCUUCCUUGGUCACUCUCCACCUUAUUUUUUGUUAAGAUUUAUGUAUGUUUAUUUCAUAUGUUUGAGUGUUUUGCUAACGUGUAUGUCUGUGCACUGUGUACAUGCAGUGCCUG